UUAAGUUAUUAAGGGCGCACGGUGGAUGCCUUGGCACUAGAAGCCGAUGAAGGACGUUACUAACGACGAUAUGCUUUGGGGAGCUGUAAGUAAGCUUUGAUCCAGAGAUUUCCGAAUGGGGAAACCCAGCAUGAGUUAUGUCAUGUUAUCGAUAUGUGAAUACAUAGCAUAUCAGAAGGCACACCCGGAGAACUGAAACAUCUUAGUACCCGGAGGAAGAGAAAGAAAAUUCGAUUCCCUUAGUAGCGGCGAGCGAAACGGGAAGAGCCCAAACCAACAAGCUUGCUUGUUGGGGUUGUAGGACACUCUAUACGGAGUUACAAAGGACGACAUUAGACGAAUCAUCUGGAAAGAUGAAUCAAAGAAGGUAAUAAUCCUGUAGUCGAAAAUGUUGUCUCUCUUGAGUGGAUCCUGAGUACGACGGAGCACGUGAAAUUCCGUCGGAAUCUGGGAGGACCAUCUCCUAAGGCUAAAUACUCUCUAGUGACCGAUAGUGAACCAGUACCGUGAGGGAAAGGUGAAAAGCACCCCGGAAGGGGAGUGAAAUAGAACCUGAAACCGUGUGCUUACAAGUAGUCAGAGCCCGUUAAUGGGUGAUGGCGUGCCUUUUGUAGAAUGAACCGGCGAGUUACGAUUUGAUGCAAGGUUAAGCAGUAAAUGUGGAGCCGUAGCGAAAGCGAGUCUGAAUAGGGCGUUUAGUAUUUGGUCGUAGACCCGAAACCAGGUGAUCUACCCUUGGUCAGGUUGAAGUUCAGGUAACACUGAAUGGAGGACCGAACCGACUUACGUUGAAAAGUGAGCGGAUGAACUGAGGGUAGCGGAGAAAUUCCAAUCGAACCUGGAGAUAGCUGGUUCUCUCCGAAAUAGCUUUAGGGCUAGCCUCAAGUGAUGAUUAUUGGAGGUAGAGCACUGUUUGGACGAGGGGCCCCUCUCGGGUUACCGAAUUCAGACAAACUCCGAAUGCCAAUUAAUUUAACUUGGGAGUCAGAACAUGGGUGAUAAGGUCCGUGUUCGAAAGGGAAACAGCCCAGACCACCAGCUAAGGUCCCAAAAUAUAUGUUAAGUGGAAAAGGAUGUGGCGUUGCCCAGACAACUAGGAUGUUGGCUUAGAAGCAGCCAUCAUUUAAAGAGUGCGUAAUAGCUCACUAGUCGAGUGACACUGCGCCGAAAAUGUACCGGGGCUAAACAUAUUACCGAAGCUGUGGAUUGUCCUUUGGACAAUGGUAGGAGAGCGUUCUAAGGGCGUUGAAGCAUGAUCGUAAGGACAUGUGGAGCGCUUAGAAGUGAGAAUGCCGGUGUGAGUAGCGAAAGACGGGUGAGAAUCCCGUCCACCGAUUGACUAAGGUUUCCAGAGGAAGGCUCGUCCGCUCUGGGUUAGUCGGGUCCUAAGCUGAGGCCGACAGGCGUAGGCGAUGGAUAACAGGUUGAUAUUCCUGUACCACCUAUAAUCGUUUUAAUCGAUGGGGGGACGCAGUAGGAUAGGCGAAGCGUGCGAUUGGAUUGCACGUCUAAGCAGUAAGGCUGAGUAUUAGGCAAAUCCGGUACUCGUUAAGGCUGAGCUGUGAUGGGGAGAAGACAUUGAGUCUUCGAGUCGUUGAUUUCACACUGCCGAGAAAAGCCUCUAGAUAGAAAAUAGGUGCCCGUACCGCAAACCGACACAGGUAGUCAAGAUGAGAAUUCUAAGGUGAGCGAGCGAACUCUCGUUAAGGAACUCGGCAAAAUGACCCCGUAACUUCGGGAGAAGGGGUGCUCUUUAGGGUUAACGCCCAGAAGAGCCGCAGUGAAUAGGCCCAAGCGACUGUUUAUCAAAAACACAGGUCUCUGCUAAACCGUAAGGUGAUGUAUAGGGGCUGACGCCUGCCCGGUGCUGGAAGGUUAAGAGGAGUGGUUAGCUUCUGCGAAGCUACGAAUCGAAGCCCCAGUAAACGGCGGCCGUAACUAUAACGGUCCUAAGGUAGCGAAAUUCCUUGUCGGGUAAGUUCCGACCCG
This 1989-nucleotide ribosomal RNA is filed under the name human gut metagenome. RNAcentral describes it as "bacterial LSU rRNA". It matches the Rfam family "Bacterial large subunit ribosomal RNA", at positions 3 to 1990 of the family's 2925-position model. The record is from RNAcentral.